This 474-nucleotide ribosomal RNA is filed under the name uncultured eukaryote. Its description in RNAcentral is "bacterial SSU rRNA". It matches the Rfam family "Eukaryotic small subunit ribosomal RNA", at positions 601 to 1072 of the family's 1831-position model. The record is from RNAcentral.
ACGUUAAAGUUGCUGCAGUUAAAAAGCUCGUAGUUGAACGUUCGGGUUCCGCGGGACGGGGCCGCCCCGCGAGGGACGGCGCCGCCCCGGGGCUCGUGAUAUCUUAUCUCGCCGCCCGUCGCGAGGCGGACGGAGGGAUGGAUGAGGUUACCUGGAAAAAAUCGGGGCGAUCUAGGCGGGCGAACCUCGCCAACGAACGAUCGGACAUGGGAUAACGGAAGAGGGCGUCGGCUCGACUUCGUCGGUUCCUCGGGGCCGAGGCACGUACGGUGAAUAGGGACGGUCGGGGCCGCCCGUACCGGGUCGUGAGAGGUGAAAUUCUAGGAUCGACCCGAGACGAACUGCCGCGAAAGCAUUCGGCAAGGACGCUUUCAUUAAUCAAGAACGAAAGUCGGGGGAUCGAAGACGAUCAGAUACCGUCGUAGUCCCGACCGUAAACGAUGCCGACCGAGGGCCCGGAGGAGUUACGUACGA